UGUAGAACAAGGUCUACAUCAGAAUUUGAUUCUUCGGCUUCCAUGCUCCAUGGUGUUCAACCCUGGGAAAGCACUGUGCAUUAAUAGUCAUGAGGCCACAAAUCACCAAUAAGAGAAGCUAACCAAGAAAUCUCUGGAGAUGGAAAUGUCAUUGAUUCUGGGCCUUGUUUCUGUAGCUGUUACAAGUCAGACUACUCGAUAUGAUGAAGGCGGUGGGAGAGAAGCAACUUGCAUCACAUGGAGCAACCUCAAUGUUAAAAGUAGGAGAACCCUGGAGAGGAUUUGUAUCGCAAGGUGACCUUGAGGAACAGCAAGCAUUGUGGAGGAAAAAAAAAAGGUUUCCAGAUUAGCUCACUUGACCUGCGAAGGUUGGGAGGAAAAGCAGUUGCUGGCGUCUGAACGCAGCCUCCCGCGAGCCCAGAGGAGGGGCAGCAGAGCUCCUGGAUUUCCUGUUGCUGCUGCUGGUGCCUGAGAUGGGGCAAAGACAUGAGCCGAGUUGUCCCCCGCUGCCUCCCAGCAUCGCUUGUCCCUGCAAAGCCGGAGCUGCGUGAGCAUCAGGAGACAACAUGAACACAGUCCCUGCUACCUCGAAUUCCGCAGUCCGGUUUCCCAUGUGUUGGUAAAUCAGCGGGAUCAGCACACACAAGGUGGAAGAAGUGGAUAGGAAAACCCAACUGUGUGUUUCCCUUUGCCAGGAGCGGACUUUGGAAACGGCGCUGUGCCAGUCCUCCCGAGGGACUUCAGCUACGUGCUACAGGAGAAACAGGAUCAUUUGGACGGGUGAACCCCAGCACGGCGCCAACGCCACCUGCAUUGCAAGCAGUAAUGUAAGCAAGAGAAAAAAGCUUGGGCUGGGGUAUUGCUGAAGCAGUAGGCAAAUGUGAAGCUGUGAUGUCUGAGGUCUGGGUGAGCCUGCUCCUGGACCCGCUCACACUCUGGCCCCACAGACGCCUUUGCAGUCACAGCUUUGCCUCUGUCCUGUCUCUCUCCCUCUCUCCCACAGCAGAGCUGCUUGGCUUUUCCAUUUUUUUGUUCCCUGACUGGUUUCCUAAUAUGCGUGGGCUGGAGAUGCGGUCAGCCCGUGUGCCAGCAAACUGGCCAUCACUCGCCCAGACAGGCACCCGCAGGACAGAUGGGAAAGAGCCGAAAGUCAGUGUCAUUACUGAAAACGUAGCUCUUUGGCCACAGUUAUUUAUAGGAACUUGGUACGUGUGCCUGUGUGUUUCUCCACGACGACAGGCAUCGCUCCCAACCACUACCGACUCUGGAUGCCGUGGUGCAAUAACCCCGGUUUUCUUGGUUACAAAUUGUAUUUUUGGGCUGUCUAGAAAUACAUGACUCAACUGUCUUACCUGCGCAAUGCCACCGGGUUUCUGGAGAGAGCACUUUGCCUGCUGGGGCAAAGCACCCGGUUCCUUCUCCCUGCGGGCACCUGCUCCCCCCAGGCCGAGGGAAAACCAGGGCAGGAACCUGCUCAUCUCCUCGCGGAGCAGCGUGAGGCCAGGCUCCCUCCCCUCGAAAACCCACCCCCUGCUCUACUUCCACAUGCUCUGAAAUGCUUCUUAGGUUGCUCAGAACGUACUUGUGAUUAGAUGUCUGUUUGGAGAAGUCAGCUGUCUUCACAUUUGGGUUGGAGCUCAGCAAAGUUCAGUAACAGAAAGCAUUUUAAAACCAUGUUUCGCAGAAGACGUGAUCGGAGCUCCACUCAGAGCAACCCCUGCCAGCACUUGCAAGGUGGGAUUUUGUCAGCGUUGAACCUCUAGCUACUCAUUAAUCAUUUCACUCAGUUCAGAUGGAGGACACAAAGCAAGGGGGAGGUGGGAUGUUUCCAAAACAAAUCUAUUUUUUGGUUACACACAAAUGUCUUAGUGUCCGCUUUGCUGACAAGGUGGAGCCCCACCCCAGCGAUUCGUGCUCAGCCUUUGGGAACAGAGUGAGACCGCUCUGAGGAAAAUGAUUUAAAAUGCCUUCAGAUGCCUUUUCACUUCUUUUUAUUUAAUUCCAUAAAUAUUUUCAUAAGGCUCAGUGUCUUUACAACACUUUUUUAAACACUUUUUUUGUUUUAUACACACAACUUUGACACUUGUUUGACAGGGUCAAACAGUCCAAUAUAAACAAAAUAAUAAAACUGGCAAGUGCGGAUCAGCUGGGUUACCAAAAUCCUUUUUUUUUCUUUUUUUUUUUUUUUUUUGCUCUUACUGUUAAAACCCCAAAAGCACUAAAAUAUCAGUAUUUGGCUUCAAACUAGAAUUUUAAAAACCUUUUUUUUUUUUUAAAUUCUCUGCUACAAGUCCCUGUCGUCAUAGUGCCUUUAAACUCCUACAGACUCUUCUUUUCUUCGUAAGGAAAAAUAAGCUCGGUGAUGCCAUGCAGAACUUACAAUAGCUACUAAAUAUACAUGUUCCCUGAAAUGUAGCUGCAAUGAAAAGAUGACAGAGCAUAAAGAGAACAAAACCAGAAACCCAAAGCACCACAGUGUACUAUCAAUAACAUUGCAGUGGACGGCCAGUGACCAUCCAGAAACUGAAACAAAUUUCAAAUAUAUUUCUCUAUGUAUUAUUUUCUAUUUACAACUGUUAGAUGCACCUAGGUUGGUUCUUGUUUGAUCUUUUUGGAGAGGGUGGGGAGGCGAAAGUCUUGAAUUUAGAUCCUCUGUUCUAGUGUCUAGGUCAAGGGGUAAUGCAUGUCAUUUACCUAGGGAAGAGGGUGUUUUUAUUUUGUAUAUAUAUAGAGAGAGAUUCAGCCAGAGAAAUGCCGUAAACAUGUAAGUUUGUUACAACUCUCUUGUUUCUGCAUAUGGAAUGGUAAGUGGGUUCCUCCUGUCUGGCAUUGAAAUGAAAGUCUCUAUCAGAUGCUCGGAAGUCAGCCCAACCUGAUUGCAUCUGCGCUGCUUCCAGCGCUUUCGGACACGAGGCAGCCCAACCCUGCUCCCUAUUGGGAAAGCCACGGUAGGUGGUAAAAGUGGGACCCAGUGCUGGUUCUUCUUUGUGAUAAUGCUCCAUCUCUUGCAGCACCUCCACAAUGUAUGGAGGGGAAGGGCUUUCUUGAAUGCCAUGCCUGAGAGCCAAGCCCCUCUUCCCUCUGGAACAAGCGCCUGCAUCUGCUUUGCCUGCCGCCUGGCUCUGGCAAGCACGAGCAAUGCUAGUUUGUUUUGGCUUUCCAGUUAAGAAAGAAGCUGCGAGUCCAACAAGUGGCCUUGUCAGAUCAAGCGAGUCUUGAUUUAUGAUGCAAAUAAUGGUGUGGCGGUGGUGUUUCUUUUUUCCUAGUGCUGAAUAUUUAGGAAGCAUCUUCUCAUAAAAAUUAUGGAUGUCUCAUUCUCACUCUCUGAGGCACAAAACAGUAAAUGAACAGGCUUAACUAAUGUGCUUGUUACUUUUUUUCCCUUAAGCAAUUAAAAAGGCAAAGGAAUAAGUGAAAUUUUCAUCAUGUUGAUAACAGUUUGUAAUCUCUUUCUCUCUCUCUCUCUCUACAUCUCUCCAGCCAUUCAGAAACAGUAAAACAUUUCAGUUAACUUCUGAGAACCCAUCUCAUUCACUUCUUUAAAUACCCAUUCUGUUAAAGAAACAAAAUAAUAUUUACUACAUAUUCACUAUUCAAAUCUGACCAUAAAAAUGCAAAGAUACAAAAGAGAGUAAAAAUAAUUUGAUAUAAAAUGGGGUUGCUUCCUAUUUGGGACUCCCAGUGUUUCACUGCUGCCUGUCACAGAGGGGCCAUUCUUCCUCUCCAAAACACUAAUCUGGCUUUGCUGUUUAUUGGUAGCUGCUAGAUUACUAAAAAGUGCUGAGAUUAUUUUUGUACUUAAAUAAAAAAUAUAGCCACUGCCUUGUAAUAUGCCCUGAAAUAAAACAGGCUCCAUGGCAAUACUGAAAUCACCCUCUCCGCUCUUCCCAUUUGCUUGUAUUUCUUAGGGGAGAAAAAAAAAUGUAUCUCCAUGCUAGUUGGCCUGGGGUGCUUAUGUGGUAUAUCAGAUUCGAAAGAAAAUGAUAAAUACUGUGAUCAAUCACUUCAUCCCACAUUUUCAAAGGAGCUUGCAGAACUGCUCUGCAAAGUUUUUAAGUUCAUCUUCUAAAUCUGGUUAAACAGUCUCAUUUGCCCUAGGGGAAAAAAAAAAUCAUCCUAGUGCACAAUGAUUUGUUUUACAAGCUUGAACGUAAGCUUUUGCGCUUGCAAACAAAUGUACUUAGGGCUGAAACUGUAGGAAGUGUCUGUGAAAACAGAGCUAUCAAUCUCCAGAGGGAGAAAAAGAGAGAGAAAGAGACCUGGAGAGUUCAGCUAAUCACUCCAGAGCCCGCUGACACUGAUACACCUCUGCUGAACCACUGAAGCCGUUCAGUUUAAACUGAUCACUGACUUAGAUUAGGUCACAUAAUCAUGGUCAUGCGGCUAAACUUCUUGGGUCACAUCCAUCUCUUUCCUGAAAGGCAGUUCCCAACUCCUCUGCAGCUCGGGUGCGUUAAAUCUCAGGUAACUACUUCCCAUCGCUUAGGCAAUGAUCCUUCCGCUAACAGGUCGCUACUGGCAGCUCCUGUUUUGCCUGGGAGGCCAGUGCCCAAGGGACGCCAGGGAUCUUAUAUGCAACAGAGUAGAGCAGGCAGUGAGUGCAGUCAUGGUCCUCAUUUUUGGGAUCAUUGCUCCUGUAAAUGGCAAUUAGUGGUUCAUUAACGCAGUACUGUGCAGGCGUGAGUGUGGCCAACAGGAUGGGACCUUAGUUCCCGAAGAAAGAAAACUGGCCAUUUGUUGGAGCCCAACAGCCAAUUUUCCUCUAGCUGGAAUGGCGGGCAUGAAGCCGUCAGUUUUUAAGCUUUUAUCUUUGCAUGGAAAACAAAGAUAGGAGUGGGCUUUUCAGAGUCAUGUCUCAGCUCAAAAAGAAAAUCAAAGGUAAGCCCCCAGAAAUAAAACUAAAUGCAAAAGAAAUAAAAGCCCCUGAUAGUCUUUUCUCAGUCUUAUUCCAAGCGUGAACAAAUCACACUGAACUGAGAAAAAGACCGUGCUUAACAAAAAUGCAAAAAGUUAACUGAGGAAAACCCAUCUCUCACUUCCUAAAUAGCUGAUAGCCCUUCUGCUUGUUUUCACCUGCCCAUAGCAAAACAGUUAAAGCCAGAGAAAUACUGCGCAGCAGAGCGUGGUGCACAAGGGAGCACAUCCAGACAGGCACAAGUCAGACCAGAGAAUGCAGGACGGGGACGGGGAAGGGGUCGAUGCUCUUCAUUGAAAUGACAACUCCAGGGACAGCCAAGGAAGGGACGGAGAGGGAGGGAGAGGGAGCAGAGAUCUCCCGGCACUCCAAAAAACAAACAACCCCCCCAUAAAUAAAAUCAAAUAAAAUAUACACCAAUGUAGUCCAUGAGGAACUUCGAUGACGAAUUCACACAAGCGAGAAAGCAUUCUGGGAUGCCAAUGACGACUUGAAUGAAAAUGAAGAAAAAAAAAAAAAAAAAAAAGAUGUCCAACCAAUGGAAUAAAAUAAAAUAGGUCACAUGGUUAGAAAUCAUUGGUGCUUCCUAGUAUCUAGUAGCAGAUUGCUUCCCAAAAACAACAAAAAAAGUUUUUGGUCCUUCUAUAUAUAUACAUAUAUGUAUAUAUAUUAUUAUUUUUAAAAUAUGUGUGUAUAUAUAUAUAUGUAUAUAUAUUUAGUUGCAACAGUGCUUCUCCGAAAAAAGGUCCAUCUAUAAAUAUAAUUUUAUUUAUUUUUAUUUUUAAAUUUUAGUUCUUUUAAGUUAAAAUUCUCCAUCUCUCUAGGUAUUAUUUUUUGAAUGGUGUUAACCUGCUGAAGUUUUGCCAGAAUGGUGCCUGGCUGCGUCUGGGUUCGGUGAACUCGAAGACCUGGGACUGGGAUAUGCCAUCUGUCACCAUGUAUUGUCCCUGAUUUAAUGGAUCCUGGGGUGGUGGGUAGGCUGGAGGAACCGACUUGGAGUAGCUCACACCUGCAUCGAUGAUUGGGGGGAAAAAGAAACAGAUCAGUCAAAGUGCAAUUGGGUCAAUAGUCUUUCUUCGUCAUGCUAUCGCUUCUUAUCACUUAAUAACCAGGGUCCCAAACAACAGGGAGACGUGCUAGAGACGGCAAAUCUACAGAGGAACGCAGCAACUGCCUAAACUGUCAGCUCGGAGGCUACCUACACUAGACCACCAGUUCAAGAUUUGGAAAGGAUCCAUUACUUUUGUAGUGGCAGAGUUUUGGCUGCCCUCAUGGAAAAGUCCUGUGUGCCCUAACGAGGCACAAACAUGGCCAGGCCAUACGCGGAAUCAAUCUGCUCAGACAAAGGCAGGCGACCGCAUCAUUCAACCUGCUCACAAAUUUAACGCUUGCUGGUUCCAAACUCGUUCUCACCCUCCCUCCCGGCUACGCUUGCAAAGCGGUUUUGCCCCAACAUGCCCCAGUGACCAGCCCCGAGCAGUGCGACCCCGAGGAUCUCUUGGCACCAGUUCCUGCGCCAGAAUGGAGCAAAGCUGCUUUGGAGGAAACGCUAUGCUGCAGGGACCCGUGCUGCUUCAGCGCUACUCUGCCUAUACGGAGAGCAAGUCAUUAUUUUCGUUAGGAAAGUUUGUAGGACUUUUCCAUAGGGUUUGUUUCAAAUUUACCAGUCUGGUUGCAGCCAAAAACGGCUGCACGCAACACAGAAAAGGCUGAUUUGCUCAAUCCAAACUGGUAGCAAUGGAUGGACUGGCAAGGCUACACUUCCAGGUUCUAGGUGCGUAAUUCCCACGUAGGUGAGUCAGAGUUCCUGGGCAGGAACGGCGUGGGGGGAUGCUGCCCUUACAGCUUUCCCACGGAAGGGGGGAGCUUCGGCAAGCUGGGACCUAUACAACCUGUUGUAAAGGACGGCGUAGGAAGAGUGGCUCUGGGUGAAUGGAACAGAAGGGAGGCAUAUCACCACCAAAGUGUAGACUACAGGGAACAGUAAUAUAGCUACUUCUGUAUUCCCUUCCCCGCAACACCACUGAUGAGGGAUAACCCCUCCUUCAGCCUCAGGGUAGAGUGAUCGGCUGGAAACCAGAACUCCAGAGAAAGGCAGGAAGGAGAGAGGAGCAGGGCUCUGAAGCAGGUUGCUGUAAGCUCUGGCCAUCUCUGGAUCCCCUCUGCCGCAUGCAGAACUGCUCUUCCUUCUGCGGGGAGGGCAGCCCCGGCCGCGUGACGGGUGGCAGGCUUCGCAAGGGCCAUCUUGAGGCCAUUGCCUCCCCUGGUUUUAACCGCAGGAGCGAGGUGACUCUACCCAAGUAGAUCAGUAUCCUCAUCUGGAAAGCGGGAUGGCAUCACCCACCUACCUCACACGAGGGUUGUGAAGCUAAAUUAAUUAAUGUUUGUAAAACACUUUGAGAUCCUCGGCUGGGAAGGUGCUAGAGAAGGCAAAAUACGGUGAUUAGCACCCAGGCACCACAGCAACGUGUGUAAAAGAAAUGCGACUCUUUGCAUUCAGUUAGCGGUUCCUACCCACACACAAACACAUGCUUUGCGGGACCAGCACUGGCCGGCCCAGGCACAGGAAGGCUGCACACAGUUGGGUACUUACAGACAAAGGAAAAAAGCCUCACAAAGUGCACUCACGGAGCUCAUCAGACAACUUUUAUAUGUUUCAGGACCUCUUUUAGAUACAAAACUAAGGCUUUAGUAUGGCUUUAGGAAAGAGAAUUAAUUCGCUUCCCCUUGCUAUAGAAUUUACCAGUCAAGGGUUGUUACCAUCUUCAAAAGGUUCAGACCAAAUGGAGAUAUCAUCUUGACUAUGUCUAACUGAUUUCUCCUUCUUUACAGCAAAUACCAUCAAAUUGUGCAGCGCUCUGUCCACCGUAGAGAGUAACCAAGAUCUUUCCUUACGGUGGACAAAAACCGCUCCGUGAUUCAUACUUAUUAACCUUUAACAAAUUCAUCACAGUUAACAUUUCAAACUUAUUUGAAAAGAACAACCUGGAGAUGUGCCACAUUUGUAUCUGCAUGCUGGAAUAGAGUUACUCAUCAACGAGUUUUCUCCUCUGCCCUUCCCAAGCUCCUCUCUCCCACAGAAAGCCUGCAAAGCAGAGUGCAGCCGCAGAGCCCUUGCUGUCCUGGGGUCAAAUCUGGACAGGGUCGGUUCUAGGAUACCUGAGACAACUUCUGUCUCACCCUUGUUGGCAGGCCCCAACCCUCCAUUUGAACUGACAUCACUAUGUGACUUAAGCCAAUGACGUCCCAUAAGGGUAAGAGCAUGGGCUUGAGCUCAUCUCUGCCCUUCCUCUUCCAUCCCUUCUUCUACACUGUCCUGCUCUGAGUUGCCUUGCUGGAAGGCAGGUCAACAUGUGGGCAGUGUAACCAACUGCAGAGUCUGCUCUGGAGGGCAAACGCUAGCCCUGAACCCAUACAAGAGUGCAGACAUUCGCCUGGAGGCCACCAGCCUUUAGUGCCUUGGCCACUUUUCUCAGCAGAGACUGGUGAGGAAUUUUGGGAUCUGUGGGAAGUUUAGGAUCUGGUACAGGUCCCUUGCAUGGCUAGAGUUGGGAAAUGUAUCUUCUGUCUGGUAAGUGGUUUGGAUCUUCGACUGACCCAAAGGACCUGGAAUGACUUCAAAGGCAAAUAGUCCCUAUGCCACCCAGAUUACUAACUAAUAUUCUACAACACAAAAGAGCUGUGAAUCUAAAGCUGCUACUAAGGGGCAUACAGCAAUUGGUUCUAGCUUUGGAAGACCUCAAAACCACAUUGCUUUAAUGACGUGGCCCAAUGUCUUUUGCAUCCUGUGGCUGCAGAGUAGCAGUCAGCCUUGUGAUGCACCCGGUCUGCUGUGCGGAGCUGGGCUGAGCUCUUUAUUGUCUCUAAAUCAAUUUGUGGAGGGUGAACUAGUGUAUUUUAAUUGUGAUACAGAAAUGCUAAGAAAUCUCCUGGAUCAGCAAAAUGUUAUGUACUUGGAAGGCUGAAGAAGUAGAGAAAGGACAGUCUGGCUGAAGUCCACUGACAUUGAUGGAGUUACACUGCAAAGAACGUAAUCCAUAGUCUGUCUUCUCCAAAAGAGAAAAAGGCAGACUCCCCUGGCCAGAUCACUAGCAAACCCCAUUCAGUUCCUUCCCAAAAUAGCCUUUUUGGUCCCAGCUCCUGAAAAAUGUCUGUCCUUGCUUCAAACAUACCCAUGCACACACUGCCGCUUCCCUCAGUAAAGCUCAGACCCACGUUCUCAAAGUUGUUUGUGCGGCCCUGCUCAAGGACCUAGGCUAUUGGCAUUAAUUAAGCUGGAUGAACAUCAAAAGCUCUGGCUGGUUCUACUUGAAUAAGCAGCCGAACGUUUGCAUAUUUAUCCUAUUUAUCAAAUGGCCUCCGUGGCCUGAUCGAUCAAGACUGCGGCUCUCAAUAGCAUGCACAAUUGCCGUGUGUUUGUGGGCGUGCAGACAAAAACAUUUGUGCUCUGGCGAGUCAGGCUGAUAAUUCUGUAAGAAUACAUUUCUUGUGAAACUGUGAUGUAGCACUUUGCAAUAGCUUGAGGUGCCCCAAGAAUGGACUUCUUUUUUUUUUUUGGACACACCCACAUUCUUGACAAGGUGGAACACGGGAACUGGCGGGGGGGAAGGAGAGACAUUUGUCUAAUCUGUACAUCUUCAAAUCCUCAGAAAGAGCAAUUCUGGGAAAAAGUAUGAAAGGUAUUUUUCUAUUCUGCUCUGAAGUGGUUUGUUCCCUCAUCGAAACUCGGGGCUGCUGUGCAAAAUUUUCUCUUGAGGGAUUUUUUUUUUUUUAAUAUGCAAAACCAUAACUCCACUGCAAUUCAACAGAAAGAAAUGAGCAAAGCUUUCUUCCAACGUGAUUUUGGGCUGCGUGGCGAACAGAAUUCAAAGUGCAAAGGGAAAGAAUCGAUAGAUAAGCAACGAUUUCCAGACACAGCUGCUGCGCUGCCCUUCCAAGGUGUGAGAAAGCAGCUAUACACCAAUGACCAGACUUGGAGCUCCUUCUGCUGGUUCAUGCAUAAUUCUGCACUGUAGCAGAAUACAAAGGCUGCAGCUGCAUAGCAAGAUCGUUCAGCAGGGUGGGGGUUGUGGAAAUCUGUUCAGAAUGAGAAAAAGAAAACUCCAGGGUUUAUAAUUUGGCUAGACAAAACUGGUAAGGAGAGAUGCUGCGCUGCCAGUUGAAAUGAUGUCUUUUUUUAGUACUAGGCAACGUCACAUGAAAUCUUUCGGACUUCUCAGCUCAGAAAAAAACAAUUAAAAAGAUUUAAAACUGUCUCUUUUUUCCCUUCUAGUUCUUUUUUUAAAGUGUCUCUUCUAUUUGAGGUUACAACAUGACUUCAGUAGCACUUGAAGAUUUAGGAGCAUGCUGUUGACUCACAGGCAAUCCACACAGACACGUGCAGACAGACCCACUUGUAAUACAGCAGGACAGCUACAGUAACACUGCACCUUUCCAGAGUUAAUACAAAACAUACACAGAACGCCCUCAGAUUCCCCUGUAUAUAACCAUGGAAACUUGCCUUACAAGCUGUUUAUUCCAUCCUCAACCUUUAAGAUUUUAGUUUAUAAGUUGAUCGGGAGCUAGUUCAUAGGUUUUUCUUCUACCUAGCUGUCUAGAUCCCAUACUGUUCAUGAGCCAGAGUUGAGUGGGGGACAAUAAAGUAUCAACACCAGCUUUCUCUACUGGCCGAGUGGAGGCUGCUGGUAGGAAAGGAAGCAGUGCUGCGCCAAGGAACCUUUCAUCUCUCUCCGAUCGCAACAGCAGCUGAGCCAACUUGCAUCUUUCAGGAGCCAUGCUCAAAAAUCCCAUAAAUUCAGUUUCCUCCUGAAUAUUGUAGCCCAUACACAACACGGGGUAGCCAGGAACAUACCUCAAGAACACUAAUUGUUGUGCGGUUAAUUACUCCUGCAACAGCAACAAGUUAAAUAAGCAGUAACGGCUGAAUGGGUACAGCCCUUUGCCCUUCUUCAGCACGUUUCAACAGAGGAUCUCAAAGCACUACUGACUCCAUCUGGGUUACUAAUGCCUGGAGCGAGAAGCCAUCUAUCUACGCUGUCAUCAAUGAGCCUAGUGCUUGCGGACCCAAAGCACGAAGUGCUUGGGCGAGCCGCAGAUGGGCACUGCGUAACGCCUGCGUGGUGGAGGGUUUGGGUAGGGUCUGUAUUUUACAAGUGAUGGGAUAAGCUCUGUGAUUUCUCUGGGGAAAUACCACCGAGAACACGAUCAGCUCCUUUCUUUCACCUACACUGUGGGAAGCUCUGUGAAAAAAGGGAAGUGACCCUGAUUAUCUGAAAAUGCAAAUGCCCCUCUUUCUUUUAAAGCGGUUAGCCUGUGUGUUGCUCAGUCUCUUUCAAUCCCCCCAGGGCUAUGCCUACAUCUGUGAAUAGGAGGGGGAAACAUGUCAGGGCCACGUCAAUCUUGUUAGCAACGAAGAUGCAAUAAAAUAGGCUUAAACACUCGGGAGAACCACAGGAGGCACCUACAGCCUCCGUUACCUGGUAAGACCUGUCCUCGCCAGCUGGAUGAAGCCAGCACACGGACGCUAACGUGCAGACAUCUCGUUUUGCUAUGCAGACUUGCUGGGGAGAGCUUGAAGUGCCGAAGUGUGAGAAGUCAGAGAAAAGCUGCUUGGGGUUUGGGUCAGGGUUUUUAUGACAUAGUUCGCCGUGAGCUCAAGUGAUCAGAAAGGAAGAAAUUAGCAGGAAAAUUCAGUGACUCAGAGGGUGUUUUACUGCAGGCCAAAGCAGUUCCUGCUGGCUGACGAUUUAACCCCUGCUGGGUUUGCAGAGCUGAGUAUUUAUGGGCAGAUUUAACGACAGCAUCCUUCUAAGCUCAGGGCUAAGGGUGACCGUGAUUGAAUAUGUGUCUCCCUCCUUCCGCAAGUCCCAGACCACCGGGCUAAAGGCUUGUCUGGGCUGAGGGCAUCUGCUUUGGUGAAGCUAUGGCACAGUGCAGAGGAGAAUACACAGGACAGAGAAGGGCAUGAAGGAGCCGGCUCAUAGCGUGGGUCUGAAGAGCUCUCCUGGGUGGGAAAUGCUCCCACCUAGCACUAAGGUCACUUUAAAUUUGAACAGACAUUUCAUUUUUCAAAAUGGAAACUUCAGUGGGAAACGGUGCUUUAAGAAUGGGAUCUCCUUCCUGGGUACCGGAACCUUGAAUCCCGACACCCUGGCUGACAGCUCGAGGAUCAGGAGCAAAAAUCCCUUACGGUACACGCUGUCCUGCAUGGGCACAAAGCUGGGGAUCAGGAAAGUAACUGAAUGCUUCUGAAAGCUGCAAACACUAAUCAUUGAGGGGAGAGAUUAAAAGCAGCCAGCAGAACAGAAGCCCUUGAUGGAUAGAAGCACUAAAGGAGCCUUCUGUUUUCAGACACUUAGAAAUGGAAAAAGUACCCUGGAUAAUCCUGUCUCUAUGUUAAGGAUGGACUGGGCAUCCCCAGAGGAUCCAUUUUCAAGGGAACUUUAGACUUGUUUCCACUGCUUUAGUCAGUAACGAGCACAAUCUUGGAAGCGCAACUCAAUGCUAUCUUAACGUCGUAGUGUCAGUGCAGGCAGCAAAGGUCCUCAGCGGUACCUGGACUUAUCUGCGGAAAAGUUGCACAAUCGAUUUGCUGUAGCUUAAAAAGGGCUGUGGGGUUUUUUGUUGUUUUUGUAAGUCAAGACAAAUAAUUUUCUCUGUUACUUUACUAUUUCUAGGAGACACCACGCUGAAUUCUAUUCCUAGUUACCACACUGACAUUGAAAAAAGCUAAUGGGCAGUAACCGAGAGGCAAAAUCUCGAACGAUCAAUGCAAAAAGAAAAAACGACAACAAACAGCCCUUUUCUGUAUCUGUUGGUAAGGUGCAGAGCCAACGCUACCCAUUUACUUUACGUCUAAUGGACUUAAAAAAGGCCAAAAAUUGGUUUAAUGCUGUCUUAAGGCACCUGGUCUAAUAUCAUUAUGUUUUGCCCAAUCCAAUAAGUAGUGCAAAUCCUAGUAUAUUGCUGAAAAUCUGACCUUGUGCAUCAUUAAAUCGAUUUGGAAGGAAGCCUGGCACCGCACACAUUUCUGUGCAGCCGUGAGCGUGAGGAGGGGGUUGAUUCCAGAGGGGGCUGACUUGUGCCCUGCAGAGGACCCUCACUUUGGGAUCAAAAACUUUUCGAAACACUGAGAUUUGUGUUCUCUCUUAAUCACCCGGAUAAAAUUUCCGUUAGUUUAAAAAACAGAGUUUUAAGGUUUCUUCUCCUGCUAUCAGCUGACGUCUCAGCGUCUCUCCCUCGCCCGCUGCAGCGAGCGGUAGAUUAAAUGCUUCCUUUUGAAACGCACGCCAGCCAGCUCCAGAGUAAUACUUCUGGGAGGUGUGGUACAACAGUGCAUGAAAUAAGCGGCAGUUUAUACUAUUUGAAAAAUGUUUUUCUGCUUCACCUCUAACAAAGUUGAUUGCAUUUUCCAUUUCACCUCCUUCAUGGCUUUUCUCUCUUCUCUAAGCAUUCUGUGACAGGGAAAUUACCAUGGUUUCCCAUUCAAGAGGUGGAGGGAACAACUGAGAUAAUCUAGAAACAAAUCUGUAAUAGGCAGCCACUGACAUGGGAGCAGAGCUCUCGACUCGUCAGGUCGGGCUGUUGAGUCAUCGAGCCCUGCUGUGGCCACCGAGACCUGUCCUGCAAAGGCCGUAAAUUUAGAUAAUAGUUCAGUUGGAUGCAGUGGAAGUAUUCCUACUCCUAAAGGGCUUCACUGCUUUCCAGGUAUACCUGAGGCUCCAAAACCAACUUAAAGCCCUUUCCAGUGCUACUGUUGUGCUGUGGGAGGCUGCACGGGGAGGGCAAAGGCAGCGCGUGGUGCCUGCAGGCAGCAACCUCCUGGCAUAGGUGCACCCGUCUACCUGCUUCCAGCCCCAAGAGCUGCACCUCGGCCUCAGCAACACAGCCCCAAGUGCCUGCCAAGGUCUUUGGCAAAAAAAUUGUUGACAAAUAUAUGUAAAAUGCAUAUGGCAAGAUUCAAAAAAUCAGCCAACUCUCAGGAAUUUCCUCCUACCUCCCUCUUCUGAGCAAUGCCACCAGCUCCCUGCUCCAGCAGCCUCGUGUCUCUCUUUGGGUCGUGGGCACAAGACAAACCAUGGACUAAGAAAACUAAGAGUUUUCAGCAAAACGUUCAAUUCCAGUACUUAAUUUAAUUAAUCUGAGACUGAGCUAUGAUUACCACAAUGUAGGACAAAAGAAACAGAGCUACUAAUUUAAUGACCCUAUUUGUUGUUUUUCAGAUUUCAUGUCUUAAGUAGAACAACCAGGCUUCACUUCACUCGAUUCUUGCGGUCUGACUGAAUUUCUGUCUGACUCGAGGACUUCAUCUCAUAAACAGAACUGCCAGUGUUACAGCAUAAGCUCAUUCUUCAUAAAAGAAAUGCUGACCGGUGUUUUAGGAGCUAAUUAGUUUUAUACUCAGAGAAGUCUAAGAUAAUAGCCCCUUCUUUUUCAUCUUAGAGAGAAAGAGAGAGAAAGAGAAAGAGAGAAAACAAGAGAGCAAUUGCUGUGUAAGAAAUAAGUACGGUUAGGCAUGUUGUAUUUGUCAGGAUGCAAGUCCAGUGAUUUAAGUGGGAAUAUUGGUAAGCAUGCUCAGGCACCUUUGAACCGUGUCACUUAAUGACUGAACAGUGCAAUUAUUAAUUAAUUAAUACCUUAAUUAAUAAUAUAACUAAUUGACAGCAAAUAGUCAUUAAAACUGGUUUUGUUGUGGCCAUCAUGCAAGUCAGUUUCUCUAAUUUUCCAGUUGCCGUAAUCUCUGUGGUGGUUUCUGUGCUGCGGGCCAAGCGUGCUAGUGGUGAGGGCUGAAUCUGCAAAACCGAGCUCGUGACAGCGUCCGCUACUGCCUGAACUACGUGUACGUUGUGUAAGUGUACAUGUUCCCUGGGCCCCUUUUUGGGUGUGUGCAUACUUUGAGCUUAGAAAAUCUGGCCAGGAGAGUUUUUAGAGAACAUCUCAGAAGACAACAAAGGAAGUUAGUAGAGAGGAGAAGACUAAUGACAAUGGAGAGACACAGCAAACCAAGGAGUUUACAGUUGGCCUAGCAAACCACUACUGGACCAGCAAAGCCAGUAGACAACAAACAGAAAACAUUACAAGCUAUUUUUAAAAGCUAAGUGAAGGUUUUUAACAGCUUUGUGCUGUCAUUAUCCUUCCAGAGGACAACACAUCGGGUUUGGACGCGUCUGACUGAACCGCUCCAUACGUUUCCCCUCCAAGGCUGCAGCAGGAACAAUCGCUGCUUCCCGCAAGGCUUCUGCAGUGCGUUUCAGAGGCUCCCGGGUUUUGCAGGUGUUGCUGAGUAGUGGAUGUGAAGAUAACGGUGUUGCCUAGGAGUUAUUGAAGGAGCAAUGAGGAGAUAACGGAAUCAUACAAGUGCUUUUGGAAAUCAAAUGGUCCCACAGAAUAUUAUUGCUGGUGAGAAUGCAUUAAUAGGAAAGAACAAGCUCAGCUAUCGAGACUGUUUCCAGAAAACACAUGAAGAAGAAACGCCGUGGUUUUGUCCUUGAGCAAGCACGUACGCGAAUGAGGGAAAGACAAUAAGUGCAAAGCUCCUGCCAGCCACCUUUACUUUCAUUUUGAGAAAAAACUUCAAUAACAAAUCUAGAAGAAAUGAAUCAUCUUUUCUCCCAUCGCUCUCAGCCUCCAGCUUGGCAGGAACUUUCUGGGGGAGAAACAGCCCCUGGAGUGGGGGGGAGGCCCAGAGGAGAGAAAGGUGCUGACGCACCAUUCAAACAGGUACAGAAAAGCUAAACAGCUCAGAGCAAGCUCAUGCCUGACAUUACCCGAGUGCGUUACCCCUGUGCUUCAUACUUCCACAAAAGAAGGACUAUUCCCCACUCGUUGAGUAGAAACUCCAGCAUCGAUACCCCAGGUUUUUAAGAGACCCUUUAUUUUUCAGAGUGGUAGAGCACACAAACAUCUUGGUGAACAGCGUGUGCCUGCACAUGGAAGACACUUUGUACGUACCUGGUUUUGAGAAAGUUCCAUCCAUAUAGCAGAUUAGGAACUGGAACUGGAUAAUAUCACUUUUAAUGGCUUAGGCAUUUCCCACUACCACUUCUCCUUUCUUCCCCUCUUCUUGCCAACAGUCAAUAAAUGGAUAUUAAUUCCUAACUGACUAAAUUUUAACAUCUGUAAUAUGGGAAACAUAAUCAUUAUUUGAUCUGUGGAUAUCUUAUCAUGUAUCAUAGAAUCAUAGAACACCAGGUUGGAAGGGACCUCAAGGAUCUCCUGGUCCAACCUUUCUUGGCAAAAGCUCCAUCUAGACAAGAUGACCCAACACCCCAUCCAACCUAAUCUUGAUACUAUUCCUUACUAUGUUCCUGCAGCUCUUAAAGAAUAACAUAUAUUACUUAACUCCUUAGUGAAGCAUGGGCAAAUGCACUUGGCUUGCACUAUAAUUGAUUUCAAUAAAAUUUAGAAAUUCAUCUGGGCUAUAUGGGAGAUGUACAGCAAACAAGGCCAAAACUCUGGUUUAAGGAGCUUUUUGUGCAUGUGGACAAGAGAAGAAAAAUUCAGGGAACAUGCAGGAAAUGAAAGCAAUGCUGCGUUGUGUGAUUUCUGCAAGAUGCAGACAGAAAGCCCGUAGCAGUGUUGAGAAAUGAAGCCUGUUGUUCUGUACACCAUUUCUGUCAAGCGCAGGGCUAUCUUUCCUUUCCUCGAGCACGUAAGCUGAAUCAAACAAGCGCACACAAGAUAAAGGAAAGCAGAUGUGUGGCUGAGGGUGAAAAUGGAUUGUUUAAACAGACUGGUGUCAGUACUACAUGUCAGAAGGACAAAGCAAAUACUUACACACAAAAUGGAGAUUUAUCAGCUGUAGAAGUAGCCACGCUGUCGAAAGGAGUGCAGGCUUAGGGGAGGGCAGAAACAGCAGCUGGGACAGGCUGCUGCUUUUACUCCUGAUUAUCCCAGGGACACCAUACGAGAGAAUUAUUAAGCCACAGAGUUUAGUUUAAUUUAUAUGCUGGCUAUAUUAGUAUAGUAUUAUAUAUUGUCCUGGCCAUAAUUAAACCAGGAUGAUGACUAGCUGGUUUAUGCUAUCCAGUUGUGGAUGUCAUACAAAUUUUUUUUUUUUUUUUAAUUAAAUCAGGUAAGAGCAAGCAAAUGUAAAAAGACAAAAAAGGCUCUCAAAACCUGAUCAGUGGGGAAAGGCCAAAGAAAUGGAGCUGUUUAAUCUAGAAAAGACAUAAAUAAAAGGGAAUGUGCUAUUGGAAUACCAAUGUGAAAGCUGCUUCUCUUCUAAGGAGGCUGGUGAUCACUUAUUCUCCAUUUUGAUUAUGGCUUGGCUUGAUUUACCACAAGAGCGAAUAGGAUUAGAUACUUGGAAAAAAAUCUUUCUAGCUAUAAGAGUAGUUAAGCAGUAGAACAGUCAAAAUAGGGAAGCCUUGGGACAGCAUUCCUUGGAGAUUUUCAAAAAUAAGGUUAGACAAACAUCCAUCAGAGAUGGUCUGAGUAUACUUAAUCCUGCAAAGGGAAUAGCUAAUCUCCUGGGGCCCUUCCCAGCUCUGCAUUUUGAUGAUAUCUAAGAGAAAGGCGAUGGAGGAGAAAACAGGAUGAGAGCAGGUAGGAUCAGUAUGGACUUCAGGAGCGGUAUGGGAAAAGCCCCAAGGCGCAGACCGGGAUAGCAAGCCCGAGGAGCAGUGACAGAAACCUGCAGUCUCUGCAGACAGCACCCAGAUUGCAUUGCAUGGCUCUUAAGGAAAAGGAUGCAUCUAGGUCAUUUGCACUUAUUUGUCUAAAUAUGAUCUUUUUUUACCCUACAGCUUCUGCCAUUUCCUUUUCUUUCCCUAGCUGAGGUUAAUUAAGCUCUCCUGAAUAAUUCUCUGCAGUCUGUUCACGUAAUAUGUACUAAGGAUUCACAAGGAAAAGAUGAAGCAAAAAAGUAAUAUUUGAUGGGAACACAAAGUUUUGACACAUUCCAUAAACCUAUGACAAUUCUGCUCUCUGCAGUGCUUGUGCCUGAGGUAGUGGCUGCUCUCAGGGAUGUACCUGUGACCUGCUCUGGCCAUUUUCUCCUGCUCUCACUCUGGCUUAAACAUCCCCAAUUUCACCGUCCCCCCUCUGAAGGGGGGGAGUGACUUUCUCUGGCUGGGCUUGAAAAAAAAAAAAAAAUUCUCAUUUGUGACCAUCAUAAGGAAACUGAGGCUGAACUUUUAUUGGAAAACCUGAAAAUCUGAAGUUGGGAUGUGGCUCCCACGAUGAAUUAUACACCUAACCCCAAAUUACUGCAGUGGAUAGAGAUAUCUGUAGGAAGGAUUGCACCUGUAAAUCAGACUGUUCAAUAACUCUGUCCUGGUUUUGGCAGGGAUAGAGUUAAUUUUCUUCCUAGCAGCUGCUUAGUGCUGUGCUUUGUAUUUAGGAUGAGAAUAAUGUCGAUAACACACCAAUGUUUUAAUUGUUGCCAAGCAGCCAAGGACUUUUCAGCUUCUCAUCCUGCCCUGCCAACGAGAAGGUGGGGGUGCCCAAGGAGCUGGGAGAGGACACAGCCAGGACAGCUGACCCCAACUGCCCAAAGGGAUAUUCCAUACCAUAUGUUGUGAUGCUCCGUAUAUAACUGGGGCUGGGCUGGAAGGCAGUUUGGCUCGAGAACUAGCUGAGCAUCAGCUUCAAGUGGUGAACAAUUGUACCGUGCAUCACUUGUUUUGUAUAUUCUUUUAUCAUUAUUAUUAUUCUCUUCCUUUUCUGUACUAUUAAACUGUCUUCAUCUCAACCCACGAGUUUCACCUUUUUUUUAAAUUUUUGAUUCUCUCCCCAUCCCACUGGGGGGAGCGAGCAAAGGGCUGCAUGGUUAUUUUUGCUGCUGGCAGGGUUAAACCAUGACAAACUCUUACUGUUAAAUCAACUUCUACUUGUCUUUAGUACUGCUUUCUCCUCCUGCUUUCUAACUUUAAUCAAUCCCUUCUUUUCUGCCACGAGUACCCCAGGCCAUCGCUAUGCGUGCCAGGAGCUGCCUUUGCAUGCUGUGAUCGUGCAAGACCCUGUAAGAGUCAAACCCUCCCGUGAUGCUGCAGAGGAAAUACAGUGUUAAUCACAAGGAGGGCAACCUGCCUGUGCAGUCGACUGCUAGUGCAAAAUAGCAUCAGAAUUAAAAGCUAUUCAACAGUUUCAGCAGCACAAAGCACGUAAGGAGGAAAAUUUCCCCUCCAUCAGAGGCCACAGCUGAGCAUUGAGAGGAUCUGACCUGGUGUGUGUCCCAGGGAGUUUGUUCCUGUUAGCUUUGUGUGCAGCCGUCUUCAGGCAUUUCGGAACCUCCUCCUAUUUAUUCCUCAGGGGGUGGUGUGCAGGAAUGGAUGGGGAGGUCUUAAGCAAGGAUUAUGAUUUUAGAAUGGCACAUUUUUUUCAAGUGCUAUGGUUUACUCUAUGCUAGGUCACACUCUCCUUCUCACGCAUAAAACAAAUAAUCUGUAAAACACCAGUGGAGAAAGAGCCAUUUCCAGCCAUGAGUCAUUAGAUCCCUCUUAUGAGCUGACAAUAUAAAAGAUGCCAACCACAGAGUAAUCCGUUACAAGUUUCUCAUUGCACAUGUAGGUUAUUGGUCCUCCUGGUUAUCAAAAUCCCACGUAAUCCAAUGGCAAAGUAGUUUCAAAAUGACUUGGGCAGGAAUUAUGCACUCUGAGCGCACGGCUGCAGUCAGGUCUGAGCGCAGCUCCCGAGGCUGGCAGGGACUGGCUGCGCGCCUUCGGGUGAAACGCAAUUCCUCCCUCAGUCCUUCCCCGUCUCUGUAAUGGGAUAAUGAUAUUUACUUAUUUUACAGGGCAACUGGAAGCUGUAAGUAAGUAAUCUGUGAAAGACACACCGAAAGCCUUUGAUGGCGGAUCUUUAACAGCUCAAAGCCUUGUAAGAAUAGCUUAGCGUCGCACACGCUCGGGGACUGGGAGUUGGCAGAGCAAGGGCAGGCAGAGAGGAGGCUCUGCAGGCGGCAGAUGCAGCCCAUGGGUGGCGGAGGUGGCAUGGCACAGAUCCCUCCGUCCCUCUGUGAGGCAAAGGGCGGCCUGAGUAACAUGCAACAGGGUGGCUCUUCCGCUGGGGAUUGUCACUCCGUCCCCACCACAGCUUUACAGAUCAUCCCAGUAGAGGUCUUCUGAGGUAUUUUCCUCUCAGCGUGGGUUAGAGCAUAAAGUCGCAGGAGGGGUUUCUCCCCUCGCUCCUCCCUACCCGAGACCACGGCUUGAAGUGAGGAGUGUCGCCGGUGAAGCAACAGCCCUCGCAAGCGCUGAUGGGGCUGGAAGGCCGAGAGCAUUACACUGCGUACACCCAAGCAAAGCAAAGCCAGGGCUUGCCUGAAACGACUAACAUCUGAAACCUAACACAGACAAGGCAGCAAGGCAGCAGCGUGCUCAGCAUGAAAAGCAGCAAUCCCUGAGACUAUUUUUGCCCAGAAGAUGAUGUGUUCUUCGGGUAUCAAAGCAGAAGGGGGAUCCAAGGAUGAGGCUGAAGAGACACCCACCUACAGGCGAGCUCUACAACUUGGGGAAUAGUUGAUGUUGAAACAGUUGAUGAAUAGUGAUUAGUUUAUGCUGAAAUUGGGAAAAGACUAAACCAGGGUCCACAAUAACUGCACCCAAACACCAACCCACGAUUUAGAAAAGGCAGAGGUUUGGAAAAGGCUGAGUUGUCUUUUACACUAAGGUGGGUCUCAGACUCUGAUGAUUUCUAGUUGACCUGGGCAGUGACUGCAGUGCAGAAUGGAAGAAACAGAGGGAGCGAGCAGAGAAUUUCAAUUUACUCCUGAAAUUUGUCCUGAUUUUCCUGCCUGCCUGCUCUCUGUCUUCACUCUGCCCAACCUGCCGUGAGCAAUGAGAGCAUGGCAUGCUGCCACUUUGCCAUGUCUUUGGGUAUCUUUAGUCGUAAGGGCUUUCAACGUUCUUUGGCUUUUUUAAAAAAGAUUCAGAGCCUACAUUUUUAAAAUCUAAUUUACCUUAAAGCGACCCUUUGAAGAAAGCAGCCCAGCCUACUUUUCAUGAACACCAAAGACACAGUUUUCUGUAGCAUUUGUUCAUUUAACUUAACCCUACCGCGGGCUGAUUUUUAAGAUGGGACAGUUACGCGCCAUUCACAUCGACCUCCCUGGAGCCCGAGUGCAUUGCAGAACUGGGCCUCUCUUCUGUCCAAAUGAGACCCUAAAACUCAAUGAACCCUUUUUGAAUGUUUUUGUCCUAAACAUUCUUGAUAUGAGAAAAUAAAUCUACGCCCUGUUAAGUGGUUGGAUGCUAGCUGACUGCGAGCUUUGCUAUCAGCCUGUCGGACACAGCAGUUUGGGCUGAGCCAGCCUUCAGGAGGGGGGAAAUGGGGUCUGCACAGCGCAACCUGAAAAUGCAAUGAGGGACGGAUCGUGUUAGGAACAGGGGCAUGUAACAUCACCUCCGCGACGCAACCUCAGCCACUCCCUUCCUACUGCAAACUUCCUAGGAUGGGCACAACUGUUUGUUACAAGUUUCCCUGGGGGCUGCCACGGGAAGAGGGGAGCCGAAAUCUCUGCAAUACCAGUUUACAUAACUCCUCCUUGCACAAGGACAGCUGUGCUGGGGAGGUCGGCAGAUUCCUGCCAAAUUAUUCAGCAGUGUCUGUCUCCUGAGUUUGGAAAGAGAUGUUUGAUUCAUCUUUACCAGCUCCAUGAAGCUGCAGUGUGGGAUCCGAGCGGGGGAGGACUGGAACUGAAAGCAUUUAUGUGGAAAUGCUAUUUUCAUUCAAUGUAUUUAGCGGAACAUCAGUGGCAUUUUGAUGCCUUGUUCCACCUCAAGCCCAGUAACGUUGGCUGCAAAGCAGCGAGCCGAGGGCGAGUGCGUUUCCAAAGAACUAAUAACAGGAAGAGAUGGGAAACCCUUCUGCAGACAUGUCACUUGGCUUUUCUGGUCUCUCCAGUUUGCUCCCAGGGGCUUAACAUUGUACUGCUGAAAGGCCACAGCAGGAGGAGGGUUAGAUUUUCAGCUCCAGAGGUUUUGCUUGUGGGCCAAAUUUACACCCACUGCAAUUACAGGAGCAAUAAAUUAGGCACAGAGUAUAUUGUAUAGCAUCUUGCAUAUCUGCAUGGCUAUAUGAGUAGGCUAAACCUGUUCCCUAUCCAGAAAAGAAACCACAGCCUGUGAAGGACUCUAAAUUCAGCCCUUUCUGGAUUUUAACAUUGAAUUAGCAAGUAACAACCUAAAGCCUUCCCCUGUCCUCCUCCAGCUGGCUCCUCUGGCUGACCCCGACGUUUUUCUCCCUACGCCUCCUGCGUCCCAGCGACCUCUCUCUGGAGUCGGCUCUUCCCUCUCUGCUGUCGCACAGCGAGCAGCGCAGAGGCAGCACCUGCCUCCCCGAGUCAGCAGAACGGCAGUGGGUGCCUGCAGGUCGCUGCGCCGGUCAGUCCAGCCCGUUUGCAUGAGUCCUCCUGCAAAACUGCGCUCAGGGCAUAUAAUUGGCACAUGCACAUCCCUGCAAAAGGGUCACCGAACAAACGCAUUCAGGGCUAUUUUGACUAUUAAAAGGAAUGUUUUCUUUUCUUGAAUAUGCCAUAUCUGAAAGCUAAAGUACUUUUUCAUAAGUAUUUUUAAUAUAUAUCCUGUCAAUUGCUGGAAUUCAUCCUUCGCGUUCAGCUAUCUGCUAACCAAGGAGACAGGAGGAUCAAACUUCCUUGCCGUGCUCCACGGUCUGACAGAGACAGAGAAACCUCUUGUCUGCAGACAGCACCAACUGAUCGGCUGGGCAUGAACGCAGGGCUACAUCAGUGGGGCUGUGGAAACACUGUUCUCCAAAAAACUUCAUGUUAUACUUUGCUUUGGGGCUGUGACCAAGCCAGUGUGUUUUCUUUGGUCUUCUUCGUGCUCAUCUUAUGCUAUCUCACUGGCUCAAACCGCAGCACGCCUUGCCUGUCGGGGCAGCACACCACCGAGUCUCUACCGAGCUGCUGGCUGAAAACGGUGAAACAGAGCCUGACCCGUUUUCUCACCCUGCUGCAGGCUGGACCCAGGCCUGACCCAAAACACGGCAUUUCAUGGAGGUCUGAGGUAACGGGAAGAAAAGAGAAGGCGUGGGAGGUGCUGCAAAAGUCAAACAGUGUUCCUUGUGGGUCAAAAAACCACUUGAAGUAAUAAGAAUUGUCCCAGUGCUGCUCUGUGUUUGCAAACAAGAUUUUUGGCUAGCCCUGUGAGACCUAUUUAGCCUGUAAUAAAAGCGGGGCCGUUGUUUUGGUGCAAAGAUUACCUCAAUGUUUUUAACAGAAGCGAUACGGGAACUAGACCUUCUUACACUAAAAGGGCUCAGAAAUGUCUCUUUUAUCUUCCCAUUUGGAAACUUGAACUGCAAUGGAGUUUGACAGGGUUAUUUUAUUUACUCUAUCUCCUACAGCACAGCUAUUUCUGGCUGACUGUCUGGCUAUUGCUAUUAAACUGGUCUCAUUUCGCUUCUCAUCCAACCUGCUUUGCUCUGAGAGCUCAAGGGAAGACAGCAAUAGCAAUAAACCACAAGCUGGAGUUCGCAUUGCCUCUUGAUUACGAGAGACACAUAAAAAGUGCAAAUGAAAACUAAAUGUGUUUCAUGCAGUCACUGAUCUUUCUGCACUGUCAGAAAACACUAAACACAGAGCCCCAUCAAGGACUGUUCCACUAUUGGUGAAAGAAAAGCAUAAUUUGCUGCAGAAACUCUGUUAACCCUUCAUACUUCAUACUGGCAUUUCCAGCCUAAUGCCACGGCGCUCUCGAGCCCGUUGGGGAAAUCCAAACUGUUACCCAGAACAGAAAAAAGAAGAUCCUCAUCUAUUACAUGAUAAGCACCUCGAGCAUCCCCCAACAUAACAAGCUAUGAUCAUAAUUAAUGCUGUGUGUCACAGUCCUGGAUGUUAAGUAUUAUGAUUUGCAAAUUUAAAGCAUCUCUGUGUCAAACUCUCUCAACUUCAGGGUGAUAAGAAAAGUAGACCCUGUGCCUUUAAGGCAACAUCUUUUAAUGCUACCAUCAUCAAAGAUUGACUUCAUUUCUUGGUAAUUACAGUUAGCAUACUGGAAUAUGUAUUCUUCUUUCCUGAUUAUAGACAUAUGGUAAGUCAAACUGAGGGCAGUGCUUGCUUCCUACACAGUUUAUUCCCUUCUUCCUUUCCAAAAGGCAUUUUUGCAUUAGGGUAACCAACCAACCGUCUCUUCUGAAGAAAGCACCGCUUUGUCCUCGUGCACACUGCAAUGUCCCAACCUCUGGUUCAGGAAACACAGGCAGAGAAUUCAGUAGGAGAGUCUGACAUUAAUCCAAAAGCUGAAAGUUAUCCAGCUUUGCAAAGAACAUCUAAAAUCAUGAGCUCUCUCAGUGGCUCAUUCUCAGGAACUGUAGACAUCCAAACUAACUCAGUGCUCCCCUUUUGACACAGGUUCUGGAAAUGUUCUGCAGUACCUACCUACAUCCACUGGUAUUUCAGUAUUCAGUCGAUCGAACACCGAAAUGGUUGACGUGGCCAUUUCAUCUGAUUAAACUUCUCACUUCCUAGCACCAGAAAAUGAUUCAGUGGUGAUAUUAGGAAGUGACCAGUGCUGUCUCUGAUGGCAAAAUCUAAGCCAAAGAGAUUUAUUUGUAAAGCUCAGAAACCAAUUUUAUUUGUGAAAAUCUUCCCUCACAAGUUGCUUUGCAAGAUGUUUGCCAGAAAUGAAAGCUGGCUGCCAUGGUGUCAGCUUCUCCACCUGCUGCUAGUGCUCUUAUUCAUGCAGCUCUCGUAAAUCUUAGUGCAAGUUUCCUGCUUGGAAGAAAGACUUAAAUGUACCCAUACUGGCAGAGAGAACAUCUGUCAAGUGCAUUUGAAUGCAGCCGUUUAUAAUUACUCAUUUUCACAAACUAGGUCUCUUUCUCAAGUCCCGUCAGUUAUCCAAGACGUGGUGGUCACGGAAAUGCAUUCAGGAUUUCUCAGUCUGAGGCAGUGGAACAUACACCAGCAACCAGGGAAGGCUCUGAGCCUUGUCCCUGGACUGACCAUUGCCAUCACCCCUUUCCUGAACUAUAUUAAUGACUAGUUCAUUAUAGUCAUAUAAGGCCUGGCAUUACUGAUGAUCUUCUGCAGGCAUAUCAAGCAGGGGAACAACUAGGCGAUGAUCUCAAGAAGAAUAACCCUGAGAGUCAUCCUCCCUCACAGAAAUGUCUUGGCCACAUGUCCAACAAAAAAAAAGGCCCCAUAACCUUGAAACAUUUUCAAGUAUCAACAGAAAGGGAUGGCAAAGCUUCUGGAAAGUAGGCCAUAUUCACAGCAGACCAGGGUUUAUUUGGAAAUAUAUUAACUGCUGCUGAAAGCAGAUAGCUGGAUACUAGAAAUACUGCCAUAGCCAAUAGACCUUAUUCCUUGGGCACGGGCAACGCUGGCUGGUUCAGUAGGAAAAAGGAACACAGUAGUUCUUGGUAGCAUGCAAUAGGAGUCCUGCCGAAAUCUUCCUAGGCCAUCUGGCUGUAUAGCUGUGGAACAAAUGUGAUCCAACAUAUGAAAAGAAAGAUGUUUUCUGAGACUGUGGCUUGUGCCUUUAGAGCCCCACAAAGGACACAGAGCCAUUGAACCGGAGUACUCCUCAUUGUUUACUAGCUGAUAGCAAAACUGCUAUGAAGAAACCCAAACUUACCUGGGGUGGGAUGACAUGUUACUUUGUACACAGCACUCACCUUAAAUAAUGGAUACAAAAUGAGCUGUUACCUUGGCUAUAGAUAGAAUUUUUUAAUACUCCGCCUGGGUUCAGCGGCAAUGCAGCCUGCCCAAAGGAUCAGCGGCUUGCAAUGCAGACACAGACAAGGGUUGUGGGCAUGAAUGUAGCAGGGCGCUCUCUUGGGACUGACAGAGCCAGCAGAUCGGCUGGCCAGAAGCAGAAUGCUGCUGAAAUUUUUGCAGCAAAAGAAAAACUGGCUUUCACCAGCACUUUUCCGGAUAUUGCAGGAAUUCAUAUACCAUCUUCCUGGACCUAACAUGCAUCUACUGGUACCAGCGAAUGCCACUAACACCUCACUUUAGCCUACCGGGGUGAAGCUGAUACCAGCAAGUUUUACCACACAGAAAUGAUUUCAUCUUCCAGUGCACGAACUAGUGAACAGGAAUCUGACGGUCUGCAACGUGAGCCCACUGUGUAACAAGUUUUGCAGACAAUGGCGUUCAAAGGGGAUGACAGAGAACACCAACAUCCAUGACUGUCACAGAGCUUAUGUUACCAAACUCUAUCUGUUCCAUCAGAAACUCAUCUAUCAGUAUCUGUCAAACCACAGAAUCCGUACGCAUUACUAGGGGAUUCGAGAACACAUAGCUGUUGCAGCUGCAAACAUCUGCCAGGGUGGCAACGGGAAACGAAGGUGAGGAUGACAUGCAGAUAACUGCAGUGAAGAUCUGGAGGAGUGGGAGAUCUUGUUUGAAAUACAUGUUUGGCUUCUAGAGCCUCUCAGCAUAUCUACCAUGCUUUCAUCAAACUAAAGUAUCUGUGAUAUAUUUAAAUAAGGAAUUGGUUUUAGUUCCUAUUUGUAUUAAAAGUCUCUUUUAACCAAUAAAGAGGUAAAAUUCAACCAUUAUAAUUCAAAAAUAAAGGUAUUCUCAAAUAGACCGUGUCACGAUUAAGGAUGCAUCAUACCUACUAAUUUAUUAUAUCUGAAGAAAACCCACAUAUACAGAAGAUUUCCUGAAGAGGAAGAUUCGCUGAGAUGUGCCAUCGUAAGUGGUACCAAAGCUGAAAAUUUUGAUCAGGGUCACUGACUAAACAAACCUCAUGCAAAACACGGUCAGGUUGUCCAUGGAUUUUCUCAUUGCCUGUGUCUGCAGUAAGAGGGGUGCUGUUCCAUCUGCUGCUUUGGAAACCUCUAAAGGGCUUAAUUCUCCCUGUGCACAAGGCAGAGGAGCUGGCAGCCCUGCACCAGUCUGAACUCUGAGACCUUCUGGAAAUCUCAAACUUUCCCUUCUGGACUCAGACAACUCCAAUUCCCUAAGGGUUUGUUCAAGUGGGACGUGAAAGCAUACUGCAAGCUGGUGCCACUCUCAAGUGCUUUAAUUCCCAUGACUGGCACCAGACUCUGCUGCAGAUGACCCCAGCACCCCCGCACCAGCAUCCCUGCUCUUGGGGAUAUGUGGGUCAUAUUUCAUCUCCUUCAGAGAAUAAUUUUAAAGCACAGGGUAAAGGCAGCUGGCCCCAGCUUCCCACACCUUGAUAUAAAUGGUGCUACACUAAGAAAGCCCCAGGAUAUAGCGCUCUGGCUUUAAUGUGGCCAGCAGGACCAGGGCAGUGACCGUGCCCCUGUGCUCGGCUCUGGUGAGGCCACACCUCGAGUGCUGGGUUCAGUUUUGGGCCCCUCACUGCCAGAAGGACGCUGAGGUGCUGGAGCGUGUCCAGAGAAGGGCAACGAAGUGGUGAGGGGUCUGGAACGCAAGUCUGGUGGGAGCGGCUGAGGGAACUGGGGGUGUUCAGCCUGGAGAAGAGGAGGCUGAGGGGAGACCUGAGCGCGCUCUACAACUCCCUGACAGGAGGGUGUGGCCAGGUGGGGUUGGUCUCUUCUCCCAAGGAACAAGCGAUUAAAUGGCCUCAAGUUGUGCCAGGGGAGGUUUAGAUUGGCUAUUACGAAAAAUUCCUUCACUUGCAAGGGUUAUCAAGCCCUGGAACAGGCUGCCCAGGGAAGCGGUGGAGUCACCAUCCCUGGAGGGAUUUAAAAGACAUGUCGAUGUGGUGUUUAGGGACAUGGUUUAGUGGUGGACUUGGCAGAGUUAGGUUAACGGUUGGACUUGAUGAUCUUAAAAGGUCUUUUCCAACCUAAACAAUUCUAUGAUUCUGUUCUAUGAUAGAGCAGAGGUUAUCCUGCUAGAUGGUUGCCUGUUGGGAUCUAUAACAGCAAAGCCUGACACAGGGGUCAAGACAACACAGGCUAUAAACCAUUCAGAUUUAUUUUAUCUAGGAUGCGUGAUCCCAAAAUGUGAGCUCACGCUCCUCUGAAUUCCAUAGUCAGACAAUCUUUCUUAACAGUGUUCAAGGAAAAAAAUAUCGAGAUGGGAGAGUCCAGCUGUAACCCUGUCUCUGCUCCUACCCCAACACUCUGAAGAGUAACAACUGUAGUUUGCUGCUGGAAAAAGAGAUGCAAAAGGAGAACCAACAACAAGGUAUGAACCCUGUCCCCAUGAUAUCGGGCUCACCAGAUGAAUUAGCACCCUCUGCCCUGUCACCUUAAAGCUCAGUGAGGACACUGUCCCACAAGAUGUCGGCUAGUGGCAGGACAGCCUGCCAGUCUCUCUGCCAGGAAGACCCAGACCACCACACUGUCUCCGAGAGAGCUAAAAUCUGCAGGGUGUUUUCCCAUGGAGGCAUCUCUUGUGCAGCACUGCCACGCACACCCCCCAAAAUGCCUCUUGAAUACAUAAGGGAAGAGGACAGUGUCACACGAACACUGUUUGCAUACUGAUACAACCUUUCGAGCCCCCAGCAGCCUGCUGUGAAUUGCUGAGCACUCUCUGCUCAUACUGAUGACCACGGAAAUCCCGGCUCUGAUUUUCCCAGGAGUUAAGGGAGCGCUCGAUACCUCUCUGGAUCAGACCCAACGGAAGCCAAACUGGAUGCUGCCUUAUGAAUCGAGCCAGGAAAGAAGUAAAAGGCACAGCAACGAGGAGGCGAAAAAUAAGCACAAACAUUCCAGAAGGCAAAAUUUCAGUCAACCAUGACUCAAGAGAAGAAAGUGCCACCCACUGAACUGCACAGGCCACAGCUCCGCAUACCGUGGCAGCGGGCAGUGAUGUCGCGGAUUCAUGAGCAGAUGGCCUUGAAAACACAGCGUGCGCUCGCUCUCCCACUCUCCGAGAGAACAAAUGCAGUCACCCUCCACUAAUUGGGAUGAGCUGGACUUUUUAAAAAGUUAAUUAAAAUCUAUUUAUUAAAAAUGC
Molecule: long non-coding RNA, 28730 nt
Organism: Grus americana (Whooping crane)
Lineage: Eukaryota; Metazoa; Chordata; Aves; Gruiformes; Gruidae
Exons: 10
Source: RefSeq, a predicted model, not a curated record